CAGCAGUGUGUAUUUCCUUCUGGCCCGUGUUGAAGUGGAUCUCUUUGGUGCCGUCCCUAAGACAAAGAGCAUGUACACAUUAACUAUAACUGAGGAACCAUAUCACAAAGGUGACCUUGGCUGACAGCCCGUCUGCUGACACUUCUUUCGUGGUCCCGUUGGGAAAGGCAAUGAGACGAUCACCAUUAGGCAGAACCUUCUCUAUCUGAAAGUACAACGAAGAGAAACACAAAGGACUAGAAUAUUCCCAUCAGGCAUUUGACUACAACAGCUUGCAUCCCUCAAAGUAUUUUUUAACUGUACUAUGAUUUGAUAAUCCGUCAGAAAGGUCACUGCAUCUGUACACAUCUACAGCAGCAUCUCAAUAACUUAGAACACCACCAAUUAAACAAGGUGGAAUUUUAAGCAUUUGGCUUACAGCUCAUUUAUACCCAAAAUUCAGUUUCUCAGAAAAUAUCAUUACAUAAAACCAAUUUAAUAAUAUAUUUUAAUAUAGAAAUGUCCACCUAAUCUGAUUUCUUUACAUUCUUAGGCUCGUUCAUCCACACCUUUAAUGUCUCUGACCACAACUGUUGAAAAGGCCUUCAUCACUACCUAGAUUUGCUGCAAGAAAGCAAGUUUUUAUGGCCUUGUUAUGUUUUGAUGAACCUUUUAUUUAGAUACAUAGCGAUACGUCUGAAAUAAUGAUCUUUAAAGUAUCUUUUUCUGCUAAACUGUAACAGUGAAUACAUUUUUGUCUUUUCCUGUUUAGAAUAUUUCACCGCAUGUUGGUAACCAGUGAUAUUCUUAUUUGGGUUUUGUUCUGGACUCUUCAAGACAUAAACAAAAGGUUUUGACAGAAUAGAGGAAUUUAUUUUCCUAGCUAUCUGAGACAUGGCAAAUAUAGGGUGUGUAAUAAUCCAUAUAGGGUUUAGUUAAUAAAUGAACUUUUCAAUAAUAUACAUAGUGGCUGUAUUUGGUAAUAGUAGCUGUUUUAAUGCAGCAUAAAAGUUUCAGAAGGUAAAGAAGUGGUAAGGAGGUCAAGCCAGUAAAUAUUAAACAGCAGAUAUCAGCCAGAAGUAACUUUUUCAUUAAAACAAUGAUUUCAGGGGGAAAUAAUAUUUCUUUCCCGUAGCUAGAUAGAUGAGGGAAAGCCUGUUUGCUAUGGACCCAAAGCAACACUAUUCAGCUUUCUGUCUAUUUAUCUCGGGUCAUAUCAGUACCCCAGCAUUCACCAACAUUCUCUCACAUUUUCCUAACAUGGAGGUGAUCCGGCCAGCAGAGGGAAGCAUGACUUUCUCUAACACUUCCUGGUGGACUGCAGCAGUCUGAACAGCCAGCUUGUAGCUUACAGUAGUAGGUCUGCUAGAUAAAUGUCCUCUACAGUCGUCCCCAUGACUGUCAAGGCCACAGCAUAACAAUUCUGUAAAUGUUGUAAAAUGUAAUAAACGCUUGUUAUCAC
This is a long non-coding RNA of Girardinichthys multiradiatus, 1441 nucleotides long. RefSeq lists it as uncharacterized. The transcript is spliced from 2 exons. The record is from RefSeq and is a predicted model, not a curated record. NCBI's taxonomy places the organism in Eukaryota, Metazoa, Chordata, Actinopteri, Cyprinodontiformes, Goodeidae.